Molecule: non-coding RNA, 411 nt
Organism: Microcebus murinus (gray mouse lemur)
Lineage: Eukaryota; Metazoa; Chordata; Mammalia; Primates; Cheirogaleidae
Source: RefSeq, a predicted model, not a curated record
CGGAAAAGGCCUGAGGCACUUGGAAGAGGGGCGGUCCCUACCUGGCUUCGCUGUUCCAUUCUUUGGUAUGGUUAGACGCCUCCCAGCCUUCUCCUGAUAGAGGAAGGAGGGUCGCUGGAACUGAGCAUAAAAAGGAACGCAUUGAAGGGUGUAUACCACAUUUAUCUUGCAUACCCUGUACCAAAUCAAGCAACUGAGGUCUAGGAUGUGGGCAACAUUCCCAAGAAUGCAGCGAGUUCACAGACAUGACUCAAGGAUAGGCACUGCACCGCUGGCAUAACCGAGACUCCAUGGGGGAGGCAAGGCUGCUACAACCACUUAGACUGGGAGCCUCUAAAAGGCAAACACCAUGCCUACACACAGAGGCUGAACAAGAGGUUGAAGGCAUGAGACAUCUGCAGAACUGUGUCA